CAGUCGCCGCGGGAAUACGUAGGUGGCAAGCGUUAUCCGGAAUUAUUGGGCGUAAAGCGCGCGUAGGCGGUUUUUUAAGUCUGAUGUGAAAGCCCACGGCUCAACCGUGGAGGGUCAUUGGAAACUGGAAAACUUGAGUGCAGAAGAGGAAAGUGGAAUUCCAUGUGUAGCGGUGAAAUGCGCAGAGAUAUGGAGGAACACCAGUGGCGAAGGCGACUUUCUGGUCUGUAACUGACGCUGAUGUGCGAAAGCGUGGGGAUCAAACAGGAUUAGAUACCCGCGUAGUCCCUGUCUCUUAUAC
RNAcentral lists this ribosomal RNA (301 nucleotides) under uncultured bacterium. RNAcentral's name for it is "partial 16S ribosomal RNA". It matches the Rfam family "Bacterial small subunit ribosomal RNA", at positions 509 to 807 of the family's 1533-position model. The record is from RNAcentral.